This 382-nucleotide ribosomal RNA is filed under the name Cryptosporidium parvum. RNAcentral describes it as "SSU rRNA". It matches the Rfam family "Eukaryotic small subunit ribosomal RNA", at positions 693 to 1084 of the family's 1831-position model. The record is from RNAcentral. Lineage: Eukaryota; Apicomplexa; Conoidasida; Eucoccidiorida; Cryptosporidiidae.
UGAAUAUUUAUAUAACAUUAACAUAAUUCAUAUUACUAUAUAUUUUAGUAUAUGAAAUUUUACUUUGAGAAAAUUAGAGUGCUUAAAGCAGGCAUAUGCCUUGAAUACUCCAGCAUGGAAUAAUAUUAAAGAUUUUUAUCUUUCUUAUUGGUUCUAAGAUAAGAAUAAUGAUUAAUAGGGACAGUUGGGGGCAUUUGUAUUUAACAGUCAGAGGUGUAAUUCUUAGAUUUGUUAAAGACAAACUAAUGCGAAAGCAUUUGCCAAGGAUGUUUUCAUUAAUCAAGAACGAAAGUUAGGGGAUCGAAGACGAUCAGAUACCGUCGUAGUCUUAACCAUAAACUAUGCCAACUAGAGAUUGGAGGUUGUUCCUUACUCCUUCAGC